AGUGAACGCUGGCGGUAGGCCUAACACAUGCAAGUCGAACGGCAGCACAGUAAGAGCUUGCUCUUACGGGUGGCGAGUGGCGGACGGGUGAGGAAUACAUCGGAAUCUACUUUUUCGUGGGGGAUAACGUAGGGAAACUUACGCUAAUACCGCAUACGACCUACGGGUGAAAGCAGGGGAUCUUCGGACCUUGCGCGAUUGAAUGAGCCGAUGUCGGAUUAGCUAGUUGGCGGGGUAAAGGCCCACCAAGGCGACGAUCCGUAGCUGGUCUGAGAGGAUGAACAGCCACACUGAAACGGGAACCCGGUCAAGCCUCCAAGGGGGGGCCGGAGGGGGAAAUUUUGGAAAAGGGGGGAAAGCCUGACCACGCCAUCCCGGGUGGGUGAAGAAGGCUUUGGGGUUGUAAAGCCCUUUUUUGGGGAAAAAAAAGCAGCAGGUUAAACCCCCGUUGUUGUGAGGGUACCAAAAAAAUAAGCCCCGGCUAAUUUCG
RNAcentral lists this ribosomal RNA (490 nucleotides) under uncultured bacterium. Its description in RNAcentral is "partial 16S ribosomal RNA". It matches the Rfam family "Bacterial small subunit ribosomal RNA", at positions 29 to 505 of the family's 1533-position model. The record is from RNAcentral.